ACACGCGCGCACGUGCGCGCACACACACAUCAGCAACAACAGCAUCCAGCAGCAUCCCCUACCUAGAGUCGAUGAGGGCAGUGCGAUUGGAGCCAUCCUCACGGACUCUCAGCCAUUCAAUGGUGACCCGAGCCCGGGCACUGUGUGGGGACAGCCUCUCAAACCUCCGGAGAGCUGUUCUGGGCACAGGCUCCUGGAACAGCCGCAGCACAGCCUGCACCAGCUCGCUGUUAGGCGGCAGCCGCUGCUCCAUUCCGAACACUAGCAGGUGAGUGGAGGUCUCUGACAUCAGGAACCUGCCUGCCACCUCUGUGGACAAGGACAGAGUCAGCCGGGCCUCUCCAGGUAUCACAAGACCUCUAGGAUGGCAGAGCCACUGUACUUGAAGGAGGCCAGGACAGAGCCGUUACAGUUCUGUGCCUUUUUAAAAUCUCCAGCAAGAGCUUGUUCACUAAACCUCCCCAAGCAAGCACAAAGAGCUUUGGGAUCCAGAAGUAAUGAAGCUGAAGAGAGUAGGGUCCUUAUAGAAGCCGGGUCAUGGAUCUGGCUUUCUUUCUGAUCCCAGCCCUAACGGGGAGAGGCUCCAUUUAGGCUCCUGCAUCUCACUAGCGGGCUAUACUGUUCUCAGAAUACUGGACGUUUUGUUUGCUUUUAACCCAAAGUAGCUUCAACCAGUAAUUUACUUCAGUGUUCAUAGCACAAGACACAGUUGGCCACUGUCCCAGAUGGUCCUAGAUAGUCACCCCAGAAGUCACACUACUGUCUCCAGAAGAACUGGGUCCUUGCUACACCUACCCAUACCCUAUGAUCCUGUUUUGCCCUGCUCUAUUCUUCUCUGAGUCUGGGUCUUGUCAGUCACUCCAGCCUGAUGUAUAUCUCCUCCUGGCCUUGAGAGUCCUGAGGACUUGGUCACACCUCUCAACACACACACAAAGAAAGGGUCUACAUCACCAGAGUGGGCAUGGUCAGUCUGCCCUGUCUAGAGACCAGGGACAGCAGGAAGAGCUCACCUCGAAAAUUCUGGCUGAACCUCUUGCCUCGGGAGCGGUCAGCGUGACUUCCCUGCAGCAGGGCCACAUACUGGGACCUCACGUGGGUAGGGAUGGCCAUCUCCUCCACAUCCGCGCUGUCCAGGGUGGGGGCCUGGCUGAGCUGCAGCUGCUGCAGUAGACUGCUCAGGACCUGUUCCUCGGUCAUCGCUGCCCCAGGGCCAGCCAGGGGCAGUACCCAGAGUGCCCAGCAAAGCCACAGGGACUUCAUGGCGCUGCCCAGGAGGAAUCGUGGAUAUAUGCGUCCCUAAAAGUGCCCUGAAAAGUUCUUGGGACCUAGACGGUCUGCUGAGGGCUGGCACUGGCCUUCUUUAUAGUUGGCCCUGGGGUGGGGGGCAGGGAGGAAGGACAAGAAAGGUCACACCCCUGGGACCUCCUGGGAACUCAGCAUGAGACAAGCCCCUGCGCCCUGAGGAGGGGCUGUCUAAGAAAGGACACAGAGAGCUGUCUGGAAGACACACGGACUGAGAUUUCUGUCUGUGGGGUCACUGCCUCUCAACGAUACUGUUCGCUCUUGUUGGAAUUAUCUGAUAAUAUCACCGUCUGUUUUGUGGGAUAGAGAAUUCCUCGGGGCAAAAAACAGAGAGACUCUUUCACCAGUUGUUGAAGUACUAUAUUACCUGCAUAGCCAUGGCUGGGCUGAAUUCUUCAGAAACGACUCUAGGUCAGGCGGACCCCAAACUUGUGAUAAUCCUCCUCCCAUCAUCCUCUGCAUGCUAGAACUACAGCUGUGUAUCACUAUGCCAGACCUGUUUAAGACUCUGGAAGAUUCUCCAUGGGCCAGUGGAGGUCUAGAUUUGUCCGUGGAGGAACAAAGAGGGGCAGAGUCCUGUAUUCCAGCUGUCUCUGGUCAAUUCCACAGAUACCCCGGAGUCAAAGGAACCGUAUACAUCCUUCAGUACCCCCACGGGUCUGUCCAGGUUCGUCACGGUCCUCAUCACACCCCACCCCUCCCAUGCCAGAGGAAGACAGAUGCCGCUAACUAGAGAUUUUGCUAGCAUAGUCUCAGGAAACAUGAAGACUGCGCAUGUCUCUCUGCUCUCAGAGUGCCACAGAAUGUGCCUCUUCAGACAGCAACUCCUUCUGGGAGGGCUCGCCCACUAGGCUCAUACCACAAGCGCUCAGGCUUGUGUCUUGCUCAUACCACAGACUUAGAGACAGAAACCAUCCAGAGGCCAAAUCUGCCUGGAAACAUGUCCAGUCCACAGCUGCAGGCACCUGACUGGCCCUACUUCUUCUAGCUCCCAGUUUACAACAGCUGGGUCUUGAUACUUGGUAAAUUUUAUAAAUUCUCAA
RNAcentral lists this long non-coding RNA (2345 nucleotides) under Mus musculus (house mouse). RNAcentral describes it as "predicted gene, 57186". The record is from RNAcentral. Lineage: Eukaryota; Metazoa; Chordata; Mammalia; Rodentia; Muridae.